Penaeus indicus is the source of this 406-nucleotide long non-coding RNA. RefSeq lists it as uncharacterized. Lineage: Eukaryota; Metazoa; Arthropoda; Malacostraca; Decapoda; Penaeidae. The transcript has 3 exons. The record is from RefSeq and is a predicted model, not a curated record.
UGAUGGCUCCCCGCGUGGACGGAGACUUCCUCCCAGACCACCCAGCCACUCUGCUCAGGGAGGGCCGCUACAACGCCGUGGACAUCAUCGUCGGCAAAACACGGGACGAAGGCGCUUUAAACUCUCGUACAUUCUUGCAAGACGGCACAACGAACACCCUGAUACAAAACUACAGCACAGUUGUCCCCUUCGUGAUGGGCUUAAAUGUCUGGGACGACAACUUCGACUUCUUAGGCCGCCUCAUUUUCCACAGGUACUUGGGUGCCGUCGAGUUUGACAUGAGCAAGAUCGAUGCUCUGACCAAGCUCGUCAGUGACUCCUUCUACAGUACAUGCACCAUAGAAGCUAUAGAAAACCAUGCAAGGGGUACCGUCUAUGGCCGUCAUGUCUACGCUUACGAGUUGCA